GCUUGAAAAUUAAAGAAGAUGGCGGUAUUUUAGUCUAUUCAGAGGAACCUGUCCUGUAAUCGAUGAUCCCCGAUUUAUUAUACUUAUUUUAUAAGUUUGCAUAUCGCUGUAGAUGGAAUGUCCUUUAAGGGUUUAUAAACAUUCAAGAGGUUUUUAUUUGUGAAAGUAAAUCAAGUCAAGAUGUAGCUGAUAAAUAAGAAGAGAUGGGUUACAAUAAAUUUAUUUAUAACGGAUUAAUAUAUGAAAUUUAUUAUAAAGGUGGAUUUGAAGGUAAUUUUAUAUAAAUUUAUAAAAUGAUUCUAGCUCUAAAAUAUGUACAC
This 320-nucleotide ribosomal RNA is filed under the name Galapaganus conwayensis. RNAcentral describes it as "partial 12S ribosomal RNA". The record is from RNAcentral. Lineage: Eukaryota; Metazoa; Arthropoda; Insecta; Coleoptera; Curculionidae.